GACGAACGCUGGCGGCGUGCUUAACACAUGCAAGUCGAACGAAGUGGCGAACGGGUGAGUAACGCGUAAUCAACCUGCCCUUCAGUGGGGUACAACAGUUGGAAAUGACUGCUAAUACCUCAUACUCAAGUUGGGGAUUUCAUCUGAUUAGCUAGUUGGAGGGGUAACGGCCCACCAAGGCGAUUAUCAGUAGCCGGUCUGAGAGGAUGAACGACCACAUUGGGACUGAGACACGGCCCAGAAUCCUACGGGAGGCAGCAGUGGGGAAUCUUCCGCAAUGGACGAAAGUCUGACGCAGCAACGCCGCGUGGGUGAUGACGGCCUUCGGGUUGUAAAGCUCUGUUAAUCGGGACGCGGUACCGGAAUAGAAAGCCACGGCUAACUCCGUGCCAGCAGCCGCGGUAAUUC
RNAcentral lists this ribosomal RNA (408 nucleotides) under uncultured bacterium. RNAcentral's name for it is "partial 16S ribosomal RNA". It matches the Rfam family "Bacterial small subunit ribosomal RNA", at positions 28 to 526 of the family's 1533-position model. The record is from RNAcentral.